UUUCAGCGGGGAGGAAGGCUUCGGGCUAAUAUCCUGGAGUACUUGACGUUACCUGCAGAAGAAGCACCGGCUAAUUUCGUGCCAGCAGCCGCGGUAAUACGAAAGGUGCGAGCGUUAAUCGGAAUUACUGGGCGUAAAGCGCGCGUAGGCGGCUAUUUAAGUCGGAUGUGAAAUCCCCGGGCUCAACCUGGGAACUGCAUCCGAUACUGGGUGGCUAGAGUGCAGUAGAGGGAGGUGGAAUUCCAGGUGUAGCGGUGAAAUGCGUAGAGAUCUGGAGGAACACCAGUGGCGAAGGCGGCCUCCUGGACUGACACUGACGCUGAGGUGCGAAAGCUUGGGGAUCAAACAGGAUUAGAUACCCUGGUAGUCCACGCCGUAAACGAUGUCUACUAGCCGUUGGUCCCUUAGUGGUGCUGGUGUUCAGCUAACGCAAUAAGUAGACCGCCUGGGCAGUACGGCCGCAAGAUUAAACUCAAUGAUUUUGCGGAA
Molecule: ribosomal RNA, 489 nt
Filed under: uncultured bacterium
Lineage: Bacteria
Description: bacterial SSU rRNA
Rfam family: Bacterial small subunit ribosomal RNA
Source: RNAcentral